RNAcentral lists this unclassified non-coding RNA (347 nucleotides) under Hevea brasiliensis (rubber tree). Lineage: Eukaryota; Viridiplantae; Streptophyta; Magnoliopsida; Malpighiales; Euphorbiaceae. The record is from RNAcentral.
AGUUACUAUACAGGUGCAAGCAAUUCAUUGAUGUUUUGUUCUCUUAAUAACAGUCUUCUUAUGAUGAAUCAUAGCUCAGGUUGUAGUUUUGGGUUUGGAAUGUCUUGUACCUGUAAUACUUAAACGGCUCAGCUCAACUGAAUUCAUCCUUGGUCCUACUAUAUUUCUUGAUCCAAUAUAUUACAGUUAGCAUUAUGGAUUCUCUUCCUUCAUCCUGCUUGGUUUAGGGCUACACUUUCAGAUCACUUCCGUGUUCUUCUUGUCUUCCUUGGUCUACGUGUCUUCUUUUCCUGUACUUUAUCUUAGAUAUGCUAUGCAUUAACCAGUUUACAUUUGACAAGGCAAAA